UACGGGGGGGGCAAGCGUUAAUCGGAAUUACUGGGCGUAAAGCGUGCGCAGGCGGCUUUGCAAGACAGAUGUGAAAUCCCCGGGCUCAACCUGGGAACUGCAUUUGUGACUGCAUGGCUAGAGUGCGGCAGAGGGGGAUGGAAUUCCGCGUGUAGCAGUGAAAUGCGUAGAUAUGCGGAGGAACACCGAUGGCGAAGGCAAUCCCCUGGGCCUGCACUGACGCUCAUGCACGAAAGCGUGGGGAGCAAACAGG
This 253-nucleotide ribosomal RNA is filed under the name uncultured bacterium. RNAcentral's name for it is "partial 16S ribosomal RNA". It matches the Rfam family "Bacterial small subunit ribosomal RNA", at positions 524 to 776 of the family's 1533-position model. The record is from RNAcentral.